This 467-nucleotide ribosomal RNA is filed under the name uncultured bacterium. RNAcentral's name for it is "bacterial SSU rRNA". It matches the Rfam family "Bacterial small subunit ribosomal RNA", at positions 355 to 825 of the family's 1533-position model. The record is from RNAcentral.
UGAGGAAUAUUGGACAAUGGGCGCAAGCCUGAUCCAGCCAUGCCGCGUGCAGGAUGACGGUUCUAUGGAUUGUAAACUGCUUUUGUACAGGAAGAAACAGUUCUACGUGUAGAACCUUGACGGUACUGUAAGAAUAAGGAUCGGCUAACUCCGUGCCAGCAGCCGCGGUAAUACGGAGGAUCCAAGCGUUAUCCGGAAUCAUUGGGUUUAAAGGGUCCGUAGGCGGUUAGAUAAGUCAGUGGUGAAAGCCCAUCGCUCAACGGUGGAACGGCCAUUGAUACUGUCUGACUUGAAUUAUUAGGAAGUAACUAGAAUAUGUAGUGUAGCGGUGAAAUGCUUAGAGAUUACAUGGAAUACCAAUUGCGAAGGCAGGUUACUACUAAUGGAUUGACGCUGAUGGACGAAAGCGUGGGUAGCGAACAGGAUUAGAUACCCCUGUAGUCCCUGAGCGGGCUGGCAAGGCGCAU